RNAcentral lists this non-coding RNA (29 nucleotides) under Mus musculus (house mouse). The record is from RNAcentral. Lineage: Eukaryota; Metazoa; Chordata; Mammalia; Rodentia; Muridae.
UCAUAUGUUGAAACCAAUCUCCAUAGUGA